Molecule: ribosomal RNA, 679 nt
Filed under: Terebratella dorsata
Lineage: Eukaryota; Metazoa; Brachiopoda; Rhynchonellata; Terebratulida; Terebratellidae
Description: LSU rRNA
Rfam family: Eukaryotic large subunit ribosomal RNA (bases 377-679)
Source: RNAcentral
CCCGUUCGGGGUGCGGUGGUCGCGGAGUWCYGGAACCAUUGGUACGGSUCCNCGGCCAGCCGCCUCCCGACGGGCGCACUUUCCCCGGCGAGAGCGCCACGACCGGUUGCCUGGCCGCCCCAAUCCCGCGAGAAAGGUGACCAGCCCUCGGGCAGGUGUUAUAGUCUCGSGUGGCGUUGGUCGGCCGGACGACCGAGGCACACCGCCGCUCCCGCCCUCGGGCUCGGUUCGCCGGCCCGCGACGUCGGUUCGACUGGGGUGGACUGCACGCAGUGCUCCCCGACCGCCGGCGGCGUGGGACCGGUCCAGACCGAGCAGGAGCCUAGGGUUGGUGGGGUUCCGGUCGGCCCUCCACCCGACCCUUCUUGAAACACGGACCAAGGAGUCUAACAUGCGCGGGAGUCAGKGGGUCYUGAGAAACCCAAGGGCGCAAUGAAAGUGAAGGSCCAGGCUUGUGGUCCGAGGUGGGAUCCCGGGCUCCGGCCCGGGCGCACCACCGGCCCGUCUCGUCCGCAUCGUCGGUGAGGCGGAGCAAGAGCGUACACGUUGGGACCCGAAAGAUGGUGAACUAUGCUUGAGUAGGAUGAAGCCAGAGGAAACUCUGGUGGAAGUCCGUAGCGAUUCUGACGUGCAAAUCGAUCGUCAAACUUGGGUAUAGGGGCGAAAGACUAAUCGAACC